UCCCAUAUAGUCUAAUUUCUAAGAUACUUGUCUCUGAGCAGCACAAUCAGUCCCGGGUUCAAUUCCAGAUGUGGGAG
Molecule: non-coding RNA, 77 nt
Organism: Araneus ventricosus
Lineage: Eukaryota; Metazoa; Arthropoda; Arachnida; Araneae; Araneidae
Source: the annotation of a GenBank genome assembly